UACAUGGGGUGCAAACGUUGCUCGGAAUUCUUGGGCGUAAAGCGCGCGUAGGCGGUUACUUAAGUCGGAUGUGAAAGCCCUCGGCUUAACUGAGGAAGUGCACCCGAAACUGAGUAGCUAGAGUACGAAAGAGGGUCGCGGAAUUCCCGGUGUAGAGGUGAAAUUCGUAGAUAUCGGGAGGAACACCGGUGGCGAAGGCGGCGACCUGGGUCGAGACUGACGCUGAGGCGCGAAAGCGUGGGGAGCAAACAGG
This 253-nucleotide ribosomal RNA is filed under the name uncultured bacterium. RNAcentral describes it as "partial 16S ribosomal RNA". It matches the Rfam family "Bacterial small subunit ribosomal RNA", at positions 524 to 776 of the family's 1533-position model. The record is from RNAcentral.